UUGAAGGGAAUCGCGCGGAGGCGGAGAGGCGAAGCAGCAGAUCGGCUGCGGUUUCGGUCCGAAUGGGGCCGAGGCCAGUCACCGACACCAGGCAAGGUUGGCCGGCCAGUUAGACUGCGCCACCGGCCGAGCUCCUGGCUCGGGAACCGAAAGGGCUCCCAAUAAUUCCGCCUCAGCUGGGACUCGCACUCCUCGCAGCCUCAAACGGGGGCCACGGUAACGGCAAGGCGCCAUGACACCUCGGGGUGCUCCGAAGUUCUCCAUCACCACAUAGCUUUUUAAAGCUCUCGUUGGACGGAGUACAGCUCGAGAUUACCACACGUUUGUUUGGGCUCCUCUCCCGAAGGAGGCCGGUCAGGUGGAACGCCAGCAGUAAGUAACGUUCGAAGUAGGGUGCCGUGCACAAUUCUGAUUUGAUGGAGGCAGAUGUGAGAGCACGGAGGAACAUCUGGUGAAACUUUUGAAAUGCCUGUUUUGCUGCCUCUGCUACUGUGUGAUCUGAAAUCUCCAGAGGGGAAGGCCCCGAAUCCUCGGCUUUGCUCAUUGCUCGGCGGCCGGGGCGGGGUCGAAGCUCUUGGCAGAGAUGUUGCUCAGUGUCGGUCGGCUGGUCGGAGGCUCGAAGUUUUCGGACGGACUCAGAGUCGGCUGUGGUCAGGUGCUUCCAGGGUGCUGCAUCAGCAAGUUUGCGGCGCUGGAGGCUCAUGGUAGGGAGAGUUUCUCCCUUCUACUGUCUGCGUGAGAUGUUGGGGCUAUCGGGACUUUGAGACUUUUCUUAACCAUGCCCAUGGUCUGCUCUUUAUCAAAUUACGGUAUUGCUUUGUACUGUUGUAACUAUAUGUUAUAAUUAUAUGGUUUGUGUCCGUUUUAGUCUUGGUCUGUCCUGUGUUUCUGUGAUAUGAU
Mobula hypostoma (lesser devil ray) is the source of this 900-nucleotide long non-coding RNA. RefSeq lists it as uncharacterized. NCBI's taxonomy places the organism in Eukaryota, Metazoa, Chordata, Chondrichthyes, Myliobatiformes, Myliobatidae. The transcript is spliced from 3 exons. The record is from RefSeq and is a predicted model, not a curated record.